AGCGAACGCUGGCGGCAGGCUUAACACAUGCAAGUCGAACGGCCGUAGCAAUACGGCAGUGGCAGACGGGUGAGUAACACGUGGGAAUGUACCCUUUGGUUCGGAACAACUCCGGGAAACUGGAGCUAAUACCGGAUAAGCCCUUACGGGGAAAGAUUUAUCGCCGAAGGAUCAGCCCGCGUCGGAUUAGCUAGUUGGUGGGGUAAUGGCUCACCAAGGCGACGAUCCGUAGCUGGUCUGAGAGGAUGAUCAGCCACACUGGGACUGAGACACGGCCCAGACUCCUACGGGAGGCUG
This 297-nucleotide ribosomal RNA is filed under the name uncultured Pseudomonadota bacterium. RNAcentral describes it as "uncultured proteobacterium partial 16S ribosomal RNA". It matches the Rfam family "Bacterial small subunit ribosomal RNA", at positions 29 to 351 of the family's 1533-position model. Lineage: Bacteria; Pseudomonadati; Pseudomonadota. The record is from RNAcentral.